Molecule: ribosomal RNA, 519 nt
Filed under: Salmonella enterica subsp. enterica serovar Enteritidis
Lineage: Bacteria; Pseudomonadati; Pseudomonadota; Gammaproteobacteria; Enterobacterales; Enterobacteriaceae
Description: partial 23S ribosomal RNA
Rfam family: Bacterial large subunit ribosomal RNA
Source: RNAcentral
AUAAGCGCCGGUAAGGUGAUAUGAACCGUUAUAACCGGCGAUACCCGAAUGGGGAAACCCAGUGUGAUUCGUCACACUAUCAUUAACUGAAUCCAUAGGUUAAUGAGGCGAACCGGGGGAACUGAAACAUCUAAGUACCCCGAGGAAAAGAAAUCAACCGAGAUUCCCCCAGUAGCGGCGAGCGAACGGGGAGGAGCCCAGAGCCUGAAUCAGCAUGUGUGUUAGUGGAAGCGUCUGGAAAGGCGCGCGAUACAGGGUGACAGCCCCGUACACAAAAGCGCAUGUGCUGUGAGCUCGAUGAGUAGGGCGGGACACGUGGUAUCCUGUCUGAAUAUGGGGGGACCAUCCUCCAAGGCUAAAUACUCCUGACUGACCGAUAGUGAACCAGUACCGUGAGGGAAAGGCGAAAAGAACCCCGGCGAGGGGAGUGAAAAAGAACCUGAAACCGUGUACGUACAAGCAGUGGGAGCCCCACCACCAAAGCAUUUGCUGUACCGCGUUGACGGAGCGAAGCGACGU